AGCAACCUUUGUUAUCUUCGCUCAAUCCUUCAAAGCUCAGUAGCUCACUAAAAUCUCAUAAUCCCCAGUCAACAAAUCACCCAGAAAACCCACUUUUUCCCUCAAUUUGCCAAAUCUCUUUGGUGUAUUCUUGUUAUCGUCAAAAGUAGAGCCAAUUAUUUCAAGAAAACCCUUUGAAGUUCUUGAAAACAUAAAGUAGAGAGAGUCAUGGCCGUACCUCCCCCAGCUGGUGGUGCUCCGCCGCAGUUGUACUUUGAUGAAAAGUGGAAGCUCUCGAAGAAGGAAAGUUCAUCAAGAAAUCAUUCCUCGAACAAUUUCGUCAGAAAUUCAUCCCGGAAAAGGUGUUCUUUUGCAAGAAAGUGUGCUGCUUUAGUUAAGGAACAGAGGGCCAGGUUUUACAUCAUGCGACGCUGUGUAACCAUACUUGUUUGCUGGCGUGAAUACAAUGAAUCUUGAAUAGGAAAAAUGUCCAGAGAGAGAAGCAUACAUUUGGCUCUCUCUCUUUUCUUUCUUUUUCUUUUUUUUUGCCCUUUCUAAGAGACUGUCUUUUUCCUGGUUAAAGAUUUUUCCAGUGUCAGAGGAAGGAAGAAGAGGAGAAGAACGAAGAAAAUUGCACAAUGGAUCCAUGUAUGUACACAAAACAUAAAUAUAGUGAGACGCCAAAUUUUCUUUCUUUUCUUGAUUUCUUUAAAUUGUCAUCUAUUUUCUUGGAUCAAACUUCACUGAAAGGAGAAAAGGGUUCUUAAUUACCGUGAAGAUUCGUACAAAUUUUGUGGGGUUUAAUUAUUUUUGUUAAUUUUUGCAACAAAUCAAUAAUUUCAAUCUUGAUACACAGAGAGAGGGGAGAGGGAGAGAUUCCUGGUUUGCAGGUGCAGCACCGUGUGGAUCCAGUUCCUUGUUUGAAGAUAAUUAUAUAUUUUAUAUUGCAUUUCAAUCAGUACUGGCAAAUAUUAUGAAAUGAAAUUUAAAUAAUUUUUUAUAGCGUAGUUGAUGGAUCAAAUCAAACGUAAGCCUCUUGGGAUGGCUAAAGGGUGCUGGGGUAGAGAUAAUUCAGAGAUGCCUUUUCCCCUGUGCCAUUAAUUACUUGUGCAAGUGUAAAAUGGAAUGAAGAAAGGUCGUGGGGUCCACAUAGGUUGCGGUCAUUUCUAAUAGGUGGGCCCAGGAGUGAGG
This 1170-nucleotide long non-coding RNA is filed under the name Olea europaea subsp. europaea. Lineage: Eukaryota; Viridiplantae; Streptophyta; Magnoliopsida; Lamiales; Oleaceae. The record is from RNAcentral.